Molecule: non-coding RNA, 73 nt
Organism: Macrostomum lignano
Lineage: Eukaryota; Metazoa; Platyhelminthes; Macrostomidae
Source: Rfam
GCCGCGAUAGCUCAGUAGGGAGAGCGUUAGACUGAAGAUCUAAAGGUCCCUGGUUCGAUCCCGGGUCGCGGCA